CAAAGAUUUUGCGAACUUCCGAAGAGCAGAAAUCUUCUUUUCACGAGGAUAGUCAGUUGUAGAACCAUUACUGAAAUUGAUAGAAAGGUCUAGAUCACUUUCGGUGGUAAAAAUGUCCAUCACAAAGGACCCAAAUGCCUCCAGCGUCGGAGACCCAUUUCUGCCACCAAACAUAUCCUCAGUCAUUUUUCUCAAUCUAUGGAUCAG
RNAcentral lists this unclassified non-coding RNA (207 nucleotides) under Hevea brasiliensis (rubber tree). The record is from RNAcentral. Lineage: Eukaryota; Viridiplantae; Streptophyta; Magnoliopsida; Malpighiales; Euphorbiaceae.